Molecule: long non-coding RNA, 3997 nt
Organism: Dunckerocampus dactyliophorus (ringed pipefish)
Lineage: Eukaryota; Metazoa; Chordata; Actinopteri; Syngnathiformes; Syngnathidae
Exons: 5
Source: RefSeq, a predicted model, not a curated record
UUUUAAGUGUAUGUACUUCCCCUUGCCCGCCCCUCAUGGUUCGUGUCUUCACUCCUUCCCUACCUGUUUUCUCCAGGGUCGUGGGGGUAUGCUGGAGCCUAUCCCAGCUGCCUUCGGGCGAGAGGCGGGAUACACCCUGGACUGGUUGCCAGCCAAUCGCAGGGCACCAUUCACACCUAUGGACAAUUUAGAGUCGCCAAAACAUGCAUGUUUUUGGAAUGUGGAAGGAAACGGGAGAACAUGCAAACUCCACACAGAGAUGCCCAACGGAGAGUCGAACCCAGGUCUUCCCGAUCUCCUGACUGUGUGGCCAACAUGCUAACUGCUUGGCCACUGUGCGGCCCGACAUCGAUUGUAUAUUACAUAUUUUUGACUCGUUGCCUGCGACCCACUCAGAAUGGAUCCGUGGCCCAUUUUUGAUUCCCGACUCCCAGUUGAGAACAACUGUACUACUUGUAUACUAUACUUGAAUUUCUUCAAGGUUGGCGGGUCUCUCGGUGUCUUCAUUCAUGCCUGAGUGAUGCUGGUCCCAGCAACGCAUCUGGUGGUUUGUACAGAUAAAUAAAUAAAUAAACACUACAGGUUGUCAGUAUAGUAUUCCAAUUCAGGGGGGCGUCGCCUGUGGGUGGGCAUGACAAAGUCAUCGAGAACCCCUGCAUUAAGAAGUGAUAGAGGAGGAAAACAAAUGUUAGCAACCCUAGCAUAGCUACAGUAUGUGAGCCACAGUGCCAGCAUUGCAGUCACAUUUGAACAGCAGCGUCAUGCUAGGUUAGCCUAUUUGCUGAAGAAAUCCAAAGUACUUCUGUCACGUUUAGUGCUGACUGAUGAUUAGUUGGCAGGGCUUUAUUUCAAGAUGCGUAGCAAAGCCUGAUUUACAUCGCUGCAUACAUUAUUGGUAAACCACCGUCUAGCCUCUUCACGGAAGGAAAACAAAAUGAUCAAACUUAGAGCUCCCACAUGUGGAGCGCCAGGCUUUAAGAUGCAUAGCGAAGCCUGCUUUUCAACCAAGUGAGGGUGAUGAUUGAUUUUUCUCUCUGUCUUGCUCUCGGCACACACAUUACUUUUAGAACAUCAUUAAAAAGUCAAUUCUGCAUAAUAAGGGACCUUAAAAGAUUCAUUGUGCACAAACAAGACUGUAGCCUCAUUCAGUCAUCUUUUUCAACAUGUUUUACCCGCUUUGAUCGUUCCCCACAUCCACCACCACCACGUUUGUCUCUUUGUAUUGUUGAUUUAUUCGGGGAUCAGAGAGGAGGAGGACGGGGGGGUGGCACCAGGGGAUGAGUAGCAUCUUUUCAAAUCAAAAGAAGACAGUUGGAAAUGUAUGCAAGGCGCGCGUGUCUGCUUGUGAAUAAUCUGCACACGAGGGCUCGGCCAAAAACGACAAUCCUUUAAAUGCUUGUUUUAAAGUUGACACAGACUUAAAUUAUGAUGGCGUGAGCACUAAUGCAUGACAUAGCACCAGGGGACUUUUGAGUUUUUAAGGUGGAGCAGCAAAAUUCCUUUCACUGAACUGUUUGUUUCAGGAUUUGUCAGUAAUAAAUGAAACACAAAAGCACAUGAAGGUCAUUUUAAUCGCUUGUUAAUGUUCCAGACAUUGUCCAUGGUUGUUCUGGAAAUAAAGUAGCCAUAGAUAGUGUCAAGGACUUCCCCUGUAGACAUAAUACAGUAAAACACAACAACUUCACAGUUAAAACAAAUCCCCAAGGGACAGAUAUAAAAGAAUAAAAACAUCAGUUAGAAGGUAGCUGCAGGCACUAGAUCUCGGCAAUGACAUGCUUUUUAUGCAUGGCUUUUUAGCAGCUACCCUUAAACAGGUCUUUGUGGGAGGUAAACGUGGUGCAGUGGAGAGGCACGGCCAAAAGAGGGAGCCAGAGAGUUACAAGUUACAGCGCUCCCGAAGUCCCAUUUAUUUGGUACAAGUGUCUUCUGGUUUGCGAAACGCCCCCUAAAUGUACUUCACAACAAGUAUUAUGGAGGUUUUUCAUCGGCUCAACGUGAAGCAAUUGAUGAAAAAACAUAAAACAGCAGAGAAAUUAUGAUAUUGAACGAUAAUGGAAUAAUACAUGUUUUAAUUUCACAUAAAGUAGGCUAGAUACAAACAAGUACCUGAUGCGCGACACUGACCAGACAUUUUGGCUGCACUGGAUCAUUUCUGGGAAUUUUCCAUGGGAAGAUCAGCUAAGGAAUGUUGGAAGUAGUACAUUUCUUUUUAAAUAAAUAUUUUCAUUGUAAUGGCUAAAUUAAGGGGAAUUUAAUUGAAUUAUUUAUUUAAUUUAAGCAAAGAUAAAUGUUAAGAAAAUACACAUAUGAAUGUAACCGAGUACAAUACCAUUCAAAUGUUUGGAGACACUUGCUCAUGCUAUUGAAUGAGAAUUUUUAGGGUUUAAAAACAUUUUUUUAUUGCUUUGAUUAAUUCCGUCAUCAAUUUUCAACUGGUUAGCAUGUUGGCCACACAGUCAGGUGAUCAGGAAGAUCUGGGUUCGAUUCUCCGUUGGACAUCUCUGUGUGGAGUCUGCAUGUUCUCCCCGUGCGUGCGUGGGUUUCCUCUGGGUACUGGUUCCCUGUGAUUGGCUGCCAACCAGUCCAGGGUGUACCCUGCCUCUCGUGUAUCCCUCUGGGAUAGGCCCCAGCAUACCCCCUAAUGAGGAUAAGCGGCAUAGAAAAUGGAUGCAUGGAAUUUUCAACUAUAUUCCAAUUCCCAACUGGGCACAUUUCCAGUAUAUUCAUAAUCAUUCCCAUGGACAACUCCCAGCUUUUGCAACCCUACCACAGAAUUUGAGUGUUUUUUUUUUUAUGAAUUCCUGAGUGAGUUAUUGUAUUCGAGGCACGGGGUGCAUCAGGGUCAUGUGCUCAGCCCCAUUGAAAGGUAGCCGCUGACCGCAGUAGUGGUGUACCACUUCCGGGAUGCUGGGGAAGACACAGCUGCUCUGGUCCAGCGUGUAGCCGUGUUCUUUGGUCUGGGCCACCAUGAUGUGAACGCAGCCCUGGCUUGUUCUGGUCAACAACAACAAAAAAAGAUCAUAAAAAUGGAACAUCAUGCACCUUCGGGAUAAAACUUUCAGGCCUGCAGCUGAAGCUCCGCCUCCUGCCGAGUCACGUAUCCAUGGUACCAGCUGGACAGGGGUCGUGUGGGGUCAACGCAGCAAGCCACAGUUUCAGGGCUGCUUCCGGGACUGGAGGAUGACGAGGACCUGAGGAUUUUCUGCGUCCAGCUUUUCUGCCUUGUGUGCUGUCUACUUGCGAGCUGAUGACUCAUGGUGACGCUACCAGGGUUGAAGUUGGGGCUCUUAUCCAGUGUGUCAACACGGAUCAGUCUGCUGAUGUAAGCGUUUGUUGUGGUGGAGCUCUUCGCGCUCUUCAUGGGCUCCUCCAUGACCUGGUCCCCUUUGGAGUUUUUUCGUCCUUUCCCUGCCAAGAGGAGGCUGUCCCAGACUUUGCCGUCUUUCUGGGAGCUGCUCAGGUCUGUGGAGGAGUUCUUGCGGUUUUUGCUGCUGGAUUUGUUGCUCCGUGCGCCGAUCCUGUCUGUACCGUUCUUCAGGUUGAUGGGGAACUCCUUGAACCACCUUGCCAUGGUAGCUCCUCAAAGUUCUCUAAUGGCACCAUGAGCCACAAUGGAGGACUUUAGAAAUCUUUCCAACGAAGGACUUCCUCUUAUCUUGUUUAGAGCAUGUCAUAAAUACUUUUCAAAGCCAUUCAAGCCUAAAAACUACUAAAACUACCAGCUGAAAAGGCUUAUUUUUUAAAUACAUACAUAUAUACGUACAUACUGUAUAUCAAUUAAAAACUACCUUUACUGGAUCCAUUUGGGAUUUUCCUUGCAUCAGAUUGCUCCUUUGGGGACAAUAAACUGUUUUUCUUGCUCCUGGUGGCUUUUACUGUCUUCUCAUGGAAGGAGAGAGUGAAAAGGGGAGGGGUUUGAGAAGUUAAAAAGGGGCAGUCAUAAACUCUUAAAUGGAUAAACAGUGACUAGAUAUUGAUUAAAACUGAUUUAAGCUUU